UAACACGUGUAAAUCAGCUCCAUUAUUCUCCUCCAUUUAACACGUGUAGCAAUGCAGUAAUAAACAAGCCAUCUUUUUUUUAUUUCUCUUCUUGGAUUUCUCUCUCUACCAAUGACACAUCUUCAUUUCAGCUACCUUGCAUUGGAAAAGACAACAGCUUGCUAAUCUCGUAGUCUGCUUUUCACUAAUUGCACGCUUUUGAGGAGGACGAAUAUCACACUGUCGCCGCUUGUUCGUCUGCUACUGUCUCUUCUCCAUUCAACAAUGUUGGUGCUGCAUCAGCGAUCUUCCCUUCACCAGUCGGUCAAUCCUCACUGCCUACUGCUUCAAUCAAGAGUCGUUUUGCAGCUGUGGAUCAACGUCCGUUUUACCAUUAUGAUUCUUCUAAGACCAUCAACUCUUUCUGUUAUAAAGAUAUAGCUCUUUCUGAUUGGAGAGGUGACCAUUGGAAAUGGCCUGUCACUGAGGCGGCCAUGUCUUGACAGAUCUCUUGGAGAAUUGGUUGGUUUCUUCUUAAAUUUUUCCUGCUGAUGUUGCUUGCCUUUUCCUUUACGAGCAGUUUUAGGAACAUCUUAAAGGAUUUUUGAUGAAUGCCCCCUGAGUUCCUUGACAGUAAAAGCUUGAUGUAGUAACAUAGGCCUACCAUUAAAGUGAUAAUGUGGUGCCUUUAUACGAUUGUUGUUUUCUUUAUACAAUUGGAUGAUGCCCCUCGGGCUCUUCCAUAUCAUGUGCCUUAAAUACUUUAACAAAAUAUCCUGGCCCUUUGGCUCUUUCAUAUCAUUCCUCAACAAUAUUAGUCAUUGUUGAAAUAA
Long non-coding RNA from Ricinus communis (castor bean), 812 nucleotides. RefSeq lists it as uncharacterized. The record is from RefSeq and is a predicted model, not a curated record. The transcript is spliced from 3 exons. NCBI's taxonomy places the organism in Eukaryota, Viridiplantae, Streptophyta, Magnoliopsida, Malpighiales, Euphorbiaceae.